UACGUAGGGGCCUAGCGUUGUCCGGAUUUAUUGGGCGUAAAGAGCUCGUAGGCGGUUCGGCAAGUCGGAUGUGAAAUCUCCACGCUCAACGUGGAGGGGCCAUUCGAAACUGCCGUGACUCGAGUCCGGUAGGGAGUGGUGGAAUUCCGGUCGGUGAGCGGUGAAAAUGCGCAGAUAUCGGGGAGGAACACCCAGUAGCGAAGGCGGCACUCUGGGCCGGUACUGACGCUGAGGAGCGAAAGCGUGGGGAGCA
Molecule: ribosomal RNA, 253 nt
Filed under: uncultured bacterium
Lineage: Bacteria
Description: partial 16S ribosomal RNA
Rfam family: Bacterial small subunit ribosomal RNA
Source: RNAcentral